This 292-nucleotide ribosomal RNA is filed under the name uncultured bacterium. RNAcentral's name for it is "partial 16S ribosomal RNA". It matches the Rfam family "Bacterial small subunit ribosomal RNA", at positions 505 to 796 of the family's 1533-position model. The record is from RNAcentral.
GUGCCAGCAGCCGCGGUAAGACGUAGGGCGCGAGCGUUGUCCGGAUUUAUUGGGCGUAAAGAGCUCGUAGGCGGCUUGUCGCGUCGACUGUGAAAACCCGCGGCUCAACUGUGGGCUUGCAGUCGAUACGGGCAGGCUGGAGUUCGGUAGGGGAGACUGGAAUUCCUGGUGUAGCGGUGAAAUGCGCAGAUAUCAGGAGGAACACCGGUGGCGAAGGCGGGUCUCUGGGCCGAUACUGACGCUGAGGAGCGAAAGCGUGGGGAGCGAACAGGAUUAGAAACCCCCGUAGUCC